This 253-nucleotide ribosomal RNA is filed under the name uncultured bacterium. RNAcentral's name for it is "partial 16S ribosomal RNA". It matches the Rfam family "Bacterial small subunit ribosomal RNA", at positions 524 to 776 of the family's 1533-position model. The record is from RNAcentral.
UACGUAGGGGGCAAGCGUUGUCCGGAAUUAUUGGGCGUAAAGAGCGUGUAGGCGGUCCGGUAAGUCAGCUGUGAAAGUCAAGGGCUCAACCCUUGAAUGCCGGUUGAUACUGUCGGGCUAGAGUCCGGAAGAGGCGAGUGGAAUUCCCGGUGUAGCGGUGAAAUGCGCAGAUAUCGGGAGGAACACCAGUAGCGAAGGCGGUUCUCUGGGCCGGUACUGACGCUGAGGAGCGAAAGCGUGGGGAGCAAACAGG